UCAAAAGUUCUAGCAGAAGCGUCAACAACAAUAUCUUUUUGCUCAGAAUUGGGUUGGAUCAUCCUACCUUUUAAGUGGUCAUCAAAAGGCGUGUUUGGCCCAAACGCAUCGCUAGACCCUGAUUUCUGCCCAUUCGUUAGCCCACCUCGAUUGGCUUGGGCCCUUGUCGCGAGCAGUGGACCUGGAUAUUUUCAAAUAAGAAUUAGAAUUUUCAUUCAAUAAUGUACCCACCAACCUUUUUCGAGUCCCAUCUUCUGAUUUCUUCCCCCUAAUAAGGACUUUUCAGUAUUUUCAUUUAAAACUUCUUUCCCAUUUUUCGUCAAAAUCUAAUACCUCUCCCCUUUCCCCAAAUCACUCCCCAAAUCAUCUGAAUUGAGAGAUAAUGCAUGAAAUCUCGAUCCCAAAAAAUCCUCCCUGUUUCCAGUCUUUUCCAUGAAUGUUUUGCUCACAUGAGUUACGCUUGGACCUCCUCUCCACCAGCAUCCAAGGACCAUAUUCAUCGCUUCCGACCACCGAAUCAACAACUAUUCGUGAGGUUCCAAUCGCCGGAGCAUUUCCUCCCAAAUUAUUCCCUGUUGCUUGUAUAUGCGGACAGCCAUCCUUGGAGUGACCAUACCGUCAACACGAGAAGCAGAAAACCGGUAAGCUUUCGUACUCGAUUCCUUGAAGGUUUCCAUUGAUGAGAAGGAAUCAGUGGUUUCUCCAAAUUGAUAUAUACUGUCAUACGUGCAUAUUGUCCUCUUGUUUGACUGUCUAUACUAAAAUCAAAUUUGGUUACCAUCCCCACCAUUCCCUCAAUUUCCCAUAAGACCUCUUUUUUGUAGAGGUAGCUAGGCAGUCCUGGGAGUCUAAUCCAAGCCAGAACAUUACUGGGAUAGAGAUUCAUUGAAUUGAAAUCAAUAGUCCAUGGUUGCACCAUCAAAUACUGUCCGAAGAUAAUCCACGGUCCCUGUGAUAAAACCUUCUCAUAAUCCUCAGAAAUUUGAAAUUUUGCUAAGAAAUAGCCAUUUUCGAUAUCCAUCAUUUGAAAGGGUUAAGAUGGUCUCCAAAGUCCAUAAGUCUUAUUUUGUCGAGUUGUAAAACCAAUAUUCCUUUCCAACAACAUGAGAAUCACGGAGGUGGACAUGUUUUAACUAAUAAUUUUUGAAUUCUAUCCGAGAAAUCAAUAGCAGGAAUGCCAUUGACUAUCGACUUCUUAACAUCACCUUCUAGAAAGGAGAAAACCUCAUUGGCUGCGUUCGAAUCACUCUCCCCAUUAGAAACAGUGGAGCCUUUGCCCAGAACCAUAUCUUUCCAGGACAGGGGUGGUACUGGUGUUGAGCCGACAGCAAUCACAUCCUUGAAACGAACCUUCUUGGUGUUUGGAUCACCAGAUCAUCCCUUUUUCCAUUGUUUUCACAGUUCAGCCUGUUGUAUUUCAUUUGUGUUAUUGUAAUAACUCUAUUUUACAUCUAUAAAAUUAACACAAUUAAAAAAAAAUUAACACAAUUUUUUUUACUUCAAUUUUUUAACAAAUUGUAAUUAUCAAAAUUUUUUCUUAUAUAUUAUGCUUAGAUAACUUUAUCUUUAAAAUUAACAUAAUUUUUUUAACUAACAAUUCUAAAUUAAAAUAUAAUUAUUUUUAAAAUUAAUUUAAUAAUAUGAUAGAAAAUAAAAGAUAUUCUUACUGUAUAUAUUUUUUUCUAAACUCAUACUUAUAUAUAUUAUAAAUUAUAAUAAUACUAACUAAACUAAAAUUUCAAUCCAACAUCAAACUUAAUUAUGUUUGUUAAUUAUUUUGAAGAAAUAAUAUGCGAAACUCAAACGGGACAGACUCCUAAACGGAAGCAAAAGCAAGGUUAAAAUAUGCUAUUAGUCCUUCGGUUUUGAUAAAAUUUGAGAUUUAAUUCUUGUACUUAAAAAUUUAAAAAUUAAAUUUUUAAAUUUUUUAUUUAAAAAUCUCAAUUUAUUCUUUAAAUUCGUAAAUAUUAUUUUUAUCAAAAUUUGUUAAUUUAGAACUUUAAUUAGACUAUUCUCAUAUAACGUGGCAUAUGAUUAACAAAAAAAUAAAUAUGUUAAAUUAAAAUUUUCUAACAUAAGCUGUAAAGAAUAAUAACUGAAUUAAAAUUUUUAAAUUAAAAAAGAUGAUUAAAAUUUUAACUUUUAAAAUAUAGGAACUAAAUGUUAUUUUUUAUAUAAGUAUAAAGACUAACAAUACAUUUUAUCCCACAAGUAAAAUGUCACAAGAGAAUAUAUAUAUAUAUAUAUAUCGAAAUUUAGAUUAACUUUUAAGGGAAUUUAUUUGAUAUAAAUUUUAGAAAAUGAAUGGGAGUUUGGAUGUAAAUCUAAUUUUUUAAUGUUCUAUAAGUUCUUUAUAAGAUUGAAAAUCAUAUUUUUGUUGUGUAAUAUAUUUUCUUUUUUGUUUUUCAGAUUUUUUAUUUCUAUUAAUAGUAGAAGAUGACUCUUCUGAAGAAGUUUCUUCUUCCUCAUAUAAAGUUAAAAUUAUUUUACUAUUACCAUAAUACAAAGCACCUAAAUCUAUGUCUAACUAUAUUAUUGUUAAUAAUAACCUGUUCUAAUUUAUUAUUAACUUCAGAUAAGAUUUUUUAAGAUUUGUUGUUCAAAUCUAAUUCCUUAAUAUCUCCUAAAUGAUUUACCUUUUCUUCUAUAUUACUAACUUUAUUAUAUAAUUUAUUAUAAUAUAUAGAGGUUAUAUCCAUUAAACUAUUAAAUCCUUUACUAAGGGUCGAAAGAUUAUUUUCUUGUUUACAAUCUAUAUGCAUAAUAUGAUUGUAGAUUUUAUCUUUAUAUAAACAAUCUGUUUCUUCCAUGGUAUUUAUCUAUGGUACCUAAAACCGUCUGUUAUGUUAUUAUGUCUUAAAUACAAAGGCCAAACGUCUCUUACUUAGACUUAAACAGGCAAAAGUAAGACAGAAUAACGGAUAUAUGAGUUUUAAGAUAAAUAACCACAGAAUUAACUAAAUUGUAAAUUAAAGAUAAGAACUUACAAUGGAUAUUAUGAUAUCAGUCUUUCCAAGAAUCGUUACUUCGAGGGCCUCUGAUACCAAUUAUAGGGAUAUAGGGAUGCGAAAGAUAAUUUUUAUUAAAUCUGAAGGAUGAUUUUUACAAAGAGAAUACUCAAAGUAAAAUAGAAGAGAACUAAACUAUUUUUCGAUGCUUUGUUUAGGCUUCAUACAUGGCUAUUUAUAGCAAAAUUCCUAAAAUUUAUUUAAUUUUUUCUUCAAUCCUGAACAGUGUUUCUAAUAAUGAUCAAUUUAUUGUAGCUUCCACAUAUCUUGGCAAAAUUUAUUGUGGCUUCCACGUAUUCUUGCAUUUAUCAUCUUUUUGUUUGUACAUAGAUUCCUUGCUUUGUAAGUUACAUUCUGCCUUGAAUUUCUUCCAUGUGGCUAGCUAUUUUGUCUUUAUCCUUCUUGGAUAUUAUCGAGAUUCCAAGUCUCUAUUUCAUCUAAAUGUAAUGAUUCUGGUGACAGUCUUGGUGAAUUCCAAGUCUCCCACGUGUUUCUGAUUUCAUCGAUUAUGUGCGAUGGAUAAUCAUCAAUCUCUAUAUUAGCUAUCUUUUUUAACAGCUUUAAAGAUUCUUCGUCUCUAUUUUUCUGGAUAUUUCCAAUGUCGUCAGCCACUAUCCUUCUUCCAUCAGUCCAGAAUUUAUAAGUUUGAUGUUGAAGUAUAUGCUGAGCUGUUGUUAUCAAAUCAAUUCCUGUUUGGAUUUGAUAAUAAGUAAAAUUAUUAUAACACUUGUUAAUGUUUUUUGUCAAGUGUUCUUUGUUUUUUUUGACAGCUGAUGACUUGGGGCUUCUAAUCAUUCUUUGAAUAAUUCAUAUUUAAUAUGGCUGAUAAAAUCUUUAUUUUUCAGCAAUACCAAUAAGACUACUUAUUUGUAUAUAGAAAUAAUAAUAAAAAUCAUCUUGAUUUACUAUUUCUAAUAAUAUAGUCUUAAUAAUUGCAGGAAAAUCUUUUAGUAAAUUAAAAGAAAAGUUUUGAACAACUAUUUCUUUAACAAAACCCCAUACAAUACUGCUUAUAUCAAAUGGUUCAUGAUUAAGUCUAAACUUUAUAAUAGGAGUUUCUACUCCUAAUUCAUUCAUAAAAACAUAUGCUUGUCAAAAAAAUUCAGAAAAAAGUCUUUUGAAAUUGAGUUUGCUGAUUACAAACAAUUUUAUUUAUUUUUGUAAAAAAAUUUAUUGGUAAAAUUUUUCUAGCUUUAUUAUAUAAAUAUAUUCUAAAUACUUUAUUCAUAAGAGGACUAUUUGUUCAUUUAUGAAUAAAAUAUUAAAAUAUAUCAAGAUGAUUAUUUAUCUCCUCAAUAUUCAUAUAUUCUAUUUCAAGCUUUUCCCAAUCUCUAUAUAAAAUUGAUUUUAAUAAUAAUUCAUGAGCUUCAUUUUCUUUAGUUGUUUUUUCAACUAAGAAUUGUGAAAACUUUGUAAGAGCUCUUCUAAAAUUUACUCUUUGUUCUAAAAUAUGGGUUUUUCAUAUUUCAUUGAUAAAUUUAUAAAUUUCACUUGGUAAUCUUGGAUUAUAAAAAUCUUUUAUUUCUGGAAUUUGUUGUUGUUUCAACAAAUUUUCUGCUCCUUUGAUCAUUUCACAUAACUGGCUUGAAAUGCCGAAUUUGGAUCUUGGGACCAAGGGUAUUGACUUACCAUACUUAGUGUAGAAAAUAAUUGAGAUCCAACUGGUGGUCUUACUAUUGGAUAGGGAAUAUAAUAUCCUUAGUUAGAAUAGAAUAAUGGCUGUGAAGAUGGCUUAAUAAAUCCUUGAUUAGGAGUUAUUGAUUUCCCUUUAUUGGGCUUUUUAUGAACUGUGGUCCAUUCUCCAACUUGUUCUAGAGGUUUUUUACCUCUAUCCAUAAGGCCUACUAAGAUAGUCAGUAAUGAUAUUAUCAGUGCCUUUUACAUAUAAAACUUUAAAAUUGAAAGUACAUAAUUCAUUAUACCAUCUAAUUCUUCUAGGUACUGUUUCCAAACUUUUGUUAGUAAAGAAUUGUUUAACCGCCUGAUUAUCGAUUUUUAUGAUAAAUUUGUCAGGUGCUAAAUAUAUAAGAAAAGUUUUUAUUCCUUUCCUUAUUGCUAAUAUUUCUUUUUCAUAUAUAACAUAAUUAAUUUCAUUUGGUUUAAAUUUUCCUGAACUAUAUCCACAUACUAAUUCUUCAUUAUUUAAUGUUAUAGCUUUUAAAAUACAUCCCCAAUAAUUUUGUGAUGCAUCUGUUUCUAAAAUUAAUUUAUCACAUUGUUUAGGUAAAUAAACCUUUGGAGUAUAAUUUAUUUCUGCUUUUAGAUUUUUUAUAAUUUCUGAAUCUUUUUUAGACCAGUUAAAAGGUUUAUCCUUUUUUAACUUUUCAUAUAGUUUGCAAAUUUUUUGAGAUACAUUAGGAAAGAAAUUUCUUCCAUAAUUGACUACUCUUAAAAAUUGUUGAAGUUAUUUUUUAUCUUCAAUAUUUUCAGGAAAUUCUUUUAUUUUUAUUAUAAUAUGAUCUUGUAGUUUAAGACUAUCUGUUGAUAAAUUUAAUCCUAAAAAUUUUAUUUCUUUUAUUUCUAAUUUUAUUUUCUUAGGACUCAAAAUAAUUCCAUGUUUUAUGAAUUCUUGAGAAAUAAUAUUUAAAUGUUUUCUAUAUUUUUCUAGUGUAUCUGAAAAUAUUAAGAUGUCAUCUAUAUUGACUACACAAAAUUUUUUAUAUUUAUUAAAUAUAGAAUCCAUCCAUCUUUGGAAUAUCUGAGGUGCAUUACAUAACCCAAAUAACAUUACUCUCCAUUGAUAAUGACCAUUAGGUGCACUAAAUGCUGUUGAAGGCUUAGAUUUUUCUGUUAGCAUUAUUUGCCAAAAUCCUGAUUUACAAUCAAAUUUACUAAAAUAUAUUGCUUGGUUAGCCUGAUUAAUUAAAACAUCUUUUCUUGGGAUAAAAUAUCCAUCAAAAUUAAUAUUUUGGUUUAGUCUUUUAUAAUUAAUUACUGUUCUAGCUUUUCCCCUUUUUAUUUCAGCAUGGUUUCUUACCAUAAAGGCUGGACUAGAAUGUGGGCUAUUAGUUUUUUCUAUUAAUCAUUUUUCUAAUAAUUCUUUGAUUUGUGUAUCAAAUUCAUCUAUAUCUUGUUUAGUAUAGAUUAUAGGUUUAACUCUAAUAAUUUUAUUAGGAUUUUCUAAUUUUAUUUCAUAAUAUCUCGCACUAUUUUGUCAUAAUUUUAAUGGUUCUUUACUAAAAUUAUCUUCUAAAAUUUUAAAAAACCAAUGACUUGUUUCUAGUUGUUUAAUUUGUUCUUUUUUUAUUGGUGUAAAUCCUUUAUCACACACAAAUUUAUGAUUUUCUACUAAAGGUAUUUCUAUAAAAGUUUUUUCUACUGAUAAUAUUACUAAGUUUUUAUCAAUAGAAAAUGGUAAAUGAUUAUAUAUAAAAUUAUUUCCUAAUAAUAUGUCUCCAUGCAUUUCAAGAAAACACAAUAUUUUAGGAAUUAUAAAUCUUACAUUAUUUAUGUAAAUUGGUAUAUUUCUAGCCUUAAAUUGAAUUAUGGUUUCUUUACCAUCUAUUCUUAUUGCUCUAAUUGGAUUUUUCAUUAAUUUUCAUUUUUCUACAGGAAUGACAUUUUCUCUACAACUACUGGUGGUAGCUCCAGUAUCUAACAAAGCAUGUAAAGAAUAUGUUUUAUAUUCUCUAAAUUGAAAUGUUAUUUCUAUAUAUGUAUAAUAUUUCCUAGGUUGAAAAUUUGAGAAUGUAAUAAUAUCAUUUUUUCCCAUUUUCAUUUGUUGAAUAAUUGUAGAAGAUUGUAUAUCUUCUAUUCUAGUAUUUCUAGAAUUUCUACUAGGUUCAGUAGGAAAAGUAGGUAUUUGAACUGUUUUCAUUUCUAUUGGUGUUGAACUUAUAUUAUCUUCAUCUUCCUCUGUUUGAGUAUUUGAAGGUAAUACUAAAUUAUUAUUUGGAUUGGUUAUAGGAUUAUUUUUAAAAUAUAAUCUAUCUCCUCAUAACAUAUAUUCUAUAGUACUUACAGGU
Molecule: long non-coding RNA, 6973 nt
Filed under: Gossypium barbadense (sea-island cotton)
Lineage: Eukaryota; Viridiplantae; Streptophyta; Magnoliopsida; Malvales; Malvaceae
Description: long non-coding RNA (GBAR_LNC009349)
Source: RNAcentral